This 465-nucleotide ribosomal RNA is filed under the name uncultured Klebsiella sp. Its description in RNAcentral is "bacterial SSU rRNA". It matches the Rfam family "Bacterial small subunit ribosomal RNA", at positions 338 to 795 of the family's 1533-position model. The record is from RNAcentral. Lineage: Bacteria; Pseudomonadati; Pseudomonadota; Gammaproteobacteria; Enterobacterales; Enterobacteriaceae.
CCUACGGGAGGCAGCAGUGGGGAAUAUUGCACAAUGGGCGCAAGCCUGAUGCAGCCAUGCCGCGUGUGUGAAGAAGGCCUUCGGGUUGUAAAGCACUUUCAGCGGGGAGGAAGGCGGUGAGGUUAAUAACCUCAUCGAUUGACGUUACCCGCAGAAGAAGCACCGGCUAACUCCGUGCCAGCAGCCGCGGUAAUACGGAGGGUGCAAGCGUUAAUCGGAAUUACUAGGCGUAAAGCGCACGCAGGCGGUCUGUCAAGUCGGAUGUGAAAUCCCCGGGCUCAACCUGGGAACUGCAUUCGAAACUGGCAGGCUAGAGUCUUGUAGAGGGGGGUAGAAUUCCAGGUGUAGCGGUGAAAUGCGUAGAGAUCUGGAGGAAUACCGGUGGCGAAGGCGGCCCCCUGGACAAAGACUGACGCUCAGGUGCGAAAGCGUGGGGAGCAAACAGGAUUAGAUACCCGGGUAGUC